GGAUGCGAUCAUACCAGCACUAAAGCAUCGGAUCCCAUCAGAACUCCGAAGUUAAGCGUGCUUGGGCGAUAGUAGUAGUAGGAUGGGUGACCUCUUGGGAAGUCCUCGUGUUGCAUUGC
Molecule: ribosomal RNA, 119 nt
Filed under: Triticum aestivum (bread wheat)
Lineage: Eukaryota; Viridiplantae; Streptophyta; Magnoliopsida; Poales; Poaceae
Source: RNAcentral